RNAcentral lists this ribosomal RNA (484 nucleotides) under uncultured bacterium. RNAcentral describes it as "partial 16S ribosomal RNA". It matches the Rfam family "Bacterial small subunit ribosomal RNA", at positions 30 to 507 of the family's 1533-position model. The record is from RNAcentral.
AUUGAACGCUGGCGGCAGGCCUAACACAUGCAAGUCGAGCGGAUGAAGGGAGCUUGCUCCUGGAUUCAGCGGCGGACGGGUGAGUAAUGCCUAGGAAUCUGCCUGGUAGUGGGGGAUAACGUCCGGAAACGGGCGCUAAUACCGCAUACGUCCUGAGGGAGAAAGUGGGGGAUCUUCGGACCUCACGCUAUCAGAUGAGCCUAGGUCGGAUUAGCUAGUUGGUGGGGUAAAGGCCUACCAAGGCGCCGAUCCGUAACUGGUCUGAGAGGAUGAUCAGUCACACUGGAACUGAGACACGGUCCAGACUCCUACGGGAGGCAGCAGUGGGGAAUAUUGGACAAUGGGCGAAAGCCUGAUCCAGCCAUGCCGCGUGUGUGAAGAAGGUCUUCGGAUUGUAAAGCACUUUAAGUUGGGAGGAAGGGCAGUAAGUUAAUACCUUGCUGUUUUGACGUUACCAACAGAAUAAGCACCGGCUAACUUCGUG